RNAcentral lists this microRNA precursor (146 nucleotides) under Gossypium hirsutum (cotton). RNAcentral's name for it is "MIR7502 microRNA precursor family". It matches the Rfam family "MIR7502 microRNA precursor family". The record is from Rfam by way of RNAcentral. Lineage: Eukaryota; Viridiplantae; Streptophyta; Magnoliopsida; Malvales; Malvaceae.
UAUUAAAAAUUUCAUCUAUUUAUACUAUUAAAAAUUGACAUGGUUGACGGAAUAACUAGAUAAUAACAUGUGACACGCCACAUCUACCUCAUACUGACAUAUAAGGAUCAAUUUCAUCCAUUCAUAAAUUGAUAAUUCUUUUAACA